GGUGUUAUAGUAUAGUGGUCAUUAUAAUUCGUUGUGGUUUCAUUGACUACGAGCUCCGAAUAGACCCAGGUUCGAUUCCUGGUAACGCCA
RNAcentral lists this transfer RNA (90 nucleotides) under Xylaria sp. FL0043. RNAcentral's name for it is "tRNA-His". It matches the Rfam family "tRNA". Rfam says of the family: Transfer RNA (tRNA) molecules are approximately 80 nucleotides in length. Lineage: Eukaryota; Fungi; Ascomycota; Sordariomycetes; Xylariales; Xylariaceae. The record is from RNAcentral.